GUUUGUGACUCAGUGGUAGAGCGCUCGCCUAGCAUGUGUGAGGCGCUGGAUUCAAUCCUCAGCAUCACA
RNAcentral lists this transfer RNA (69 nucleotides) under Marmota monax (woodchuck). RNAcentral describes it as "tRNA.Ala". The record is from RNAcentral. Lineage: Eukaryota; Metazoa; Chordata; Mammalia; Rodentia; Sciuridae.